UGGUGCCAAAUACUUGGCUCCAAAUAAAAAUUCAAUAGUCAUUUGAUUUUUAAAUGCAUUUCAGAGGUGGGGGCUUGCGGCAGUAGUGGAGAUGGGAAGGCUCUUGGAGCGACUCAGAGAGGGGACUGGGGCAGGUUUGGUUGAUUGGGACUGCUGCUUGUGAGAAUUUGAGGUGCCAAGUCUACCAUCUAUUCAUGGAAAAUGACUAGGAUCUCUAGGCAAUGCUAGUCGUUGCAAGAGGGCCUUUGGUGACGUUUUAGAGCCGCCUCUGCUGCCUUUACUCAUCCCUAGCCCAGUACUCCGAAGUUUCUCUCUUCGAAGAUGAAUUUCAACAUUGCGAACCCUACUAUGGGGUGCCAAAAGAAACUUGAAAUCAAUGAUGACCAGAAACUUCGAGCAUUUUUUGACAAGAGGAUUUCACAGGAAGUCAGUGGAGAUUCUCUCGGAGAAGAAUUUAGGGGCUAUGUUUUCAAAAUCAAGGGAGGCUGGGACAAGCAAAGGUUCCAAAUGAAGCAAGGAGUGUUAACUCCAGGCCGUUUCGUCUCUUGCUUUAGAGAGGCACUCCUUGCUUCCGUGGGUAUGUUAGGCGCAAUGGAGAGCGGAGGAGGAAGGUAGUGCGUGGAUACAUUGUCAGCCAAGAGCUUUAUGUUCUGAACUUGGUUGCUGUGAAAAAGGGUGAGAAUGAUCUUCUUGGUCUGACAAGACCUUUCUGUUCUGAACUUGGUUAUUGGAAAUUAGAUAGUCUAAAUGUAUUUAGAAAAUUUAGAAAUUAUGUAUUACGUGGAGAAUGACCCGUUUAGGCCUUACUUUUUCUUAGUUGUUUUUCUUUUUUCUUGAUAGCAAAAGGAAGAUGCCGAUAAUACUUUUUAUUAGUUUAGAAAGAUUUUUUUAGAAUUUUUUUAGUUCAGAAAGAGUUUAAAUAAAUAAAAUUGUUUCUGUUUAUGGGUGCCUA
This is a long non-coding RNA of Carya illinoinensis, 952 nucleotides long. RefSeq lists it as uncharacterized. The record is from RefSeq and is a predicted model, not a curated record. The transcript has 2 exons. Lineage: Eukaryota; Viridiplantae; Streptophyta; Magnoliopsida; Fagales; Juglandaceae.